This 452-nucleotide ribosomal RNA is filed under the name Magallana ariakensis (Suminoe oyster). RNAcentral's name for it is "partial large subunit ribosomal RNA". It matches the Rfam family "Bacterial large subunit ribosomal RNA", at positions 1908 to 2597 of the family's 2925-position model. Lineage: Eukaryota; Metazoa; Mollusca; Bivalvia; Ostreida; Ostreidae. The record is from RNAcentral.
GUGCGAAAUAUUACUGUAAACGGCCGCCCUAGCGUGAGGGUGCUAAGGUAGCGAAAUUCCUUGCCUUUUGAUUGUAGGCCUGCAUGAAUGGUUUAACGAGGGUUUAACUGUCUCUUGAUUUAAAAUUGAAAUUGUACUGAAGGUGAAGAUACCUUCAUUAAAAAGUCAGACAAAAAGACCCCGUGCAACUUUGAAAAUUAACUUUAUUCAGAAGUGAAAGAUUUUUAGGUGGGGCGCCUAGAAAGUAAAUCUAACCUUUCUGAACAUUUAGUUCUUUCCGGACUUGACCCGAUUAUAUUCGAUCAUAGGAGAAGUUACGCCGGGGAUAACAGGCUAAUCCUUUAGUAGAGCUCGUAUUGGCUAAAGGGAUUGGCACCUCGAUGUUGAAUCAGGGAUGAUAGCUUCAAGGCGUAGAGGCUUUGAAAGUAGGUCUGUUCGACCUUUAAUACCCU